Molecule: long non-coding RNA, 300 nt
Filed under: Prunus persica (peach)
Lineage: Eukaryota; Viridiplantae; Streptophyta; Magnoliopsida; Rosales; Rosaceae
Description: long non-coding RNA (PPER_LNC007751)
Source: RNAcentral
AAGAAUUGUCCUACUGCGUGGCUGUUAGACCAAGGUCUGACGUGGAUAAAGCUACUGGGUUUUUGAAUGUGAAUGAUAGUUCUUUAUCCUCUGGUUCGUUUGAAUGAGGAGUUUUGUAUUGUAAAGAAAUAGAACUCUAUCACUUAAUAGCUGAAAUCCUGUUUUGUAGGAACAGCUUUCUGUUUUUCAAACCUGUACUUAUCAAUACAAUCAAUAUAAAUACACAGCUGCAGCCAUAUUGGUCUGUAAGCUUUUCAUGCUAUUUCAAAGUCUUUCAUGGUAUUAGAGCCUCUAGUCUAA